Long non-coding RNA from Canis lupus familiaris (dog), 665 nucleotides. RefSeq lists it as uncharacterized. The record is from RefSeq and is a predicted model, not a curated record. The transcript is spliced from 3 exons. Lineage: Eukaryota; Metazoa; Chordata; Mammalia; Carnivora; Canidae.
UUGUUUAAUUGACUGCUUAACUACACUCACCUCACCAUGAAAAUGCCUUUAGCUCUUAGUUGGCUUGCACACGAGGAAGACCUACAGAUGGUCAACGGGUGACCAGCCCUUCCUGGUCCAGGUUUUUAAUCCUGUGGUUUUCUCUCUGGUGGUUUCUAGAUGCUUCUGAGGAGCACUUCAGCUGGGAUCGAGGGAAUUGAAUAUGCACAUUUUGAAGAAAAGGAACCACUGGAGCAUCUAUAAAUACUGAGGAAUAAUAACGGAAGGAAAAAGGACAAGUUAUUGACUGUCGUUAAAAGUACAGCAAAGAAUAAUGGGCCUCUUCGGAAUGAGGAUGACUUUUCAGUUAUGAUGGAUCCAACUUCUAACACUGAGGAGUGGGGAGUGGAGCGAGGUCUGCAGACAGAGGCCCCUCUCUGGCAUUCAGAGCCAAGCAGAUGAAAACUGAAAGAGCAAAAAAGUACAACCAACAGUAUUGCCUCUACCAGGGGCUUUCCAUGGCUCCAUAGGGUGAUAUCUGAGUGAUAAAGUAUUUGACAACACAGGUCAUUCAGAAGAGAUGCUGAUUAUGACCAGCAGUUUUACCUGCAGUGGUAUAUUUCCUCUGAAUAGCAACUCUGCUCUCUGCUAUUCCAAAACACUUUUUUGAAAUAAAAAUAACCUAU